GGCAAAAUAUUUGACGAGUUUUCACUUUGUUGCUGAGUUGAAAUGCCCCCAUAGAGAUUUACAGGCAUUGAAGGCCUAUUAAAUACCAAGUGUGGAAGUCCAGGCAGAGAAUUAGAAGCUACCAUGACCCCAGAAGCAGGUACAGCACCUAAACGUGUGUCCGUUGAACUUGCAGUAGGGUUCUGAGGAAUCUCAGAUAUCCCCACACUUUCCAUGUUAUAAACCGGAGUACUUGGAAGAGAAAUUUU
RNAcentral lists this unclassified non-coding RNA (248 nucleotides) under Hevea brasiliensis (rubber tree). The record is from RNAcentral. Lineage: Eukaryota; Viridiplantae; Streptophyta; Magnoliopsida; Malpighiales; Euphorbiaceae.